GGAAGGUUCUGCAACUGGUACUGGAUAAGGUGAAAAUCUUUCCACUGGCUGUCUUGACAUCUCAUCUCUAACUGUCUUGCUAGCCUGCCUCCUUAUAUAGGACUCUUAAAAGGUCAAAGCUUUCAUUCCAGGAAAGAAACUGCCACUGGAUUCAGAGAGAGAACUCCCAAUUCCUUAUAGGAAACUAGCACUGUAUGUGAGGCAUGAAACUCCAACUCGACCGAAGGCAUAAGGAAUUGCAGGAUAUGUAAGGUAUACAUAUACUACUGUAUAGGCUUCUCUUUAUUCUGCGGUUGAAUAGGCAACAAAGACUACUUAUCCAUAGGCAACUAAUAGUACUCCAACACUGUAAAUGGAAGGCAAAGCACUAGCAGGAAGGACUCCAAAUUCAUCUGGAAUCGGAUGAAACUAUAAAGAUGCUAAUUCAAAAUAGUCCAAUACAGAUAAGAAAGCUGAAGCUAGCCACUAAGAUGCUAACAGGCACAAGUAAGAUUUAAUAAAUUCUCAAUUCUUUGUUUGCUCACAGAAGAGAUUGCCCUGUAACCUGCUAUUCCUGCUGGAUUGAAAGCUGAUUUCGUAAGGUAAGAAAGAGUAGUUUCCACUAAAACUCCAACUGGCAAUGGAACUGCUGAUAUCCUUCCUUACCCAUUUGAUCAAGACUUUCUUUCCUGCCUUAGGAAAGAAAGAGUUUAGGCCUGUUGACUCAGCUUGGAAAGAAGUCAAAACAUUGACAACAUAAAUAUGGAUUCUGCAGUUGGGCUUUUUUAAGGACUCGAAGUGGCUAGCAGAAACGAAAAGAGAAAGAAGGGACAAGAAGAGCUAUCCUAGUGUCAACCAAGAUCUAUUCUAUGUAGCUACCCUACCAUAGAAAAAAAUCGCCACCACUACCUUCACCAGCAGCAAAGGCAAAAGGUGAAAAAACUGGAACUGGUUUAGCAAAAAAGUGGGCAAAGAUUGGCUCGCAAGGAAAGAGAAGGACUGGCUAGCUUACUCUUUUAUUACUCGAAAAAAUCCCAUUGCCUUUGCCUUCACAGACACACAUUGAGAGAGACAAGCAGAAAACGAACUCAUUUGGAAAUGGUUGAGCAACUCCUACUGGAGCUAAAUCGAAACUAGCACUUCAAUAAGUUGCUCUUAGCAUGCCAACUAUAAGGGUUUAGCUUUGUUAUCCAAAAACCAUGGCAGGAGCUUAGCUUAGAAUUGGAAACCCCUAGCCUUCCUCUAGAUAGCAGAAAACCCUAUCCAAGAGCACUCAAAUCGACCGAAACUCACUAGCUCUUUCAAGAGGAAAAAAAGCCUAUUCAAAAGUCUUCCUCCCUCCUUAUCCCUAUACUAUAGGAAUAUAGGAAAGAGUAAAGAGAUCUAUCCAGCCCACCAGGAUAGCCCCACAUACAAGGAAAGAAAAAAAGGAUAUCUUUCUGUAGACCUAUCUGGGAAUCUUUUACCGUUAGCGUUAGCCUAGCCGAGAGAAAGAAAGAAAUUUGACUUGGAAGAAGAAGACUACCUUCCUCGCUAAAGCCCCAACCCUAAGCUUUUAACCUAGCCUUAGCCUGCACGAUCCGACCUUGACCCAUAUGGUACUGAAACUAGAUUCCAAGUAGAAGGUAUAGAAGUAGAUGUAGGGGAUGCAAGAGAACUCUCGCUGGCAGGAAGAGACCUGGAUGCCCUUAUGACAAGACUAGCCCUCCCCAAAACAGAAAAAGAAAGGAGAUCUUUUUCCUCAAAGAAAAUCUUUUUUGAAUACUCUCUCACAACCCUCCCCUACAUUAAAUCACUUACAGAAAUGUGAAAGAGACUUCUAGACAAGUUUGCUCACAGAAUUGCCCACUCACUUGAGAACUUAAUUUAUAGUUUUCCUAAUCUCCCUAUCAAAGUCUUACGCACCAUUUUAUCCCUAGAAAUCCCAUAUACUGCUUGCUUUAUGAAAGGCCCUAUUCUGCUCUAGAAAAAACAUAUUCCGCCCUAGUCGCCUUUGACCUAGCGCCUUUUGCAAAAGGAGGAAUUAAACUAUCAAUUACAGAUACGAAUGCUAGUACUUAUACUGUUGGAGAAGACCUAUAGAUUGCUUUGGAAGGAAGAUUUAAAACUGCAGGGGAUUAGCACGCCAAGGGAACUGAAUGGAAAGUUGACAACCUAAUUGGUUUUUUUAAAGGGACUAAAGGAAAGGUUACUCCUACAAAGGCUCCCACGGGAUAGACGGAAAAUAUCAAAUUCAUAAGGUCUAUCCCUAUCCCGCCGCUCUUCUUGAUCCUGAUGGCUUUGCACUUUUUAGCGGAUUGUUUUCUACUUUCUAAUUGACUCGAAGGCAUAAUUUGAAUUAAAAAGGAUGGAAAUUUGGCUUGCACCAACAUUGAUCGAAAGAAACUCCAAUUCAAAGCUAGUAAGGGAGAAAGUAAAGGCUGUAAACUAGCACUUAUAUAUAUUUUAGGGGCUUACUUGCCUAAAAUCACUACUUGCUUGCCCGAAAAAAAAACAUAUGGUAUAGAGAAAAAGAAUAAAGAAUAUGAUAAAGGUCCUGCAAACCCGGAGUCUUCCUUAAGAGAAAGAAAUUUUUAUUUUUUCUUGCCGCUCUUGCAUGUACAAAAACAAGUUAGCCUUGCACUACUCCAGUUGGAUUGUACUACAGUGCUUGAUUGACCUUUUCUACUUUCAAACUUGAUAGCCAUAAAGCCUUCCAAUAGCUAAUCUCUUAGCC
RNAcentral lists this long non-coding RNA (2695 nucleotides) under Gossypium barbadense (sea-island cotton). Its description in RNAcentral is "long non-coding RNA (GBAR_LNC002154)". The record is from RNAcentral. Lineage: Eukaryota; Viridiplantae; Streptophyta; Magnoliopsida; Malvales; Malvaceae.